CGGAUCAGCCCGCUCCCGGUAAAACGGGACGGCCCGCCAGAGGACCCCUAAACUCUGUUUCUAUAUGUAACUUCUGAGUAAAACCAUAAAUAAAUCAAAACUUUCAACAACGGAUCUCUUGGUUCUGGCAUCGAUGAAGAACGCAGCAAAAUGCGAUAAGUAAUGUGAAUUGCAGAAUUCAGUGAAUCAUCGAAUCUUUGAACGCACAUUGCGCCCGCCAGUAUUCUGGCGGGCAUGCCUGUUCGAGCGUCAUUUCAACCCUCAAGCACAGCUUGGUGUUGGGACUCGCGUUAAUUCGCGUUCCUCAAAUUGAUUGGCGGUCACGUCGAGCUUCCAUAGCGUAGUAGUAAAACCCUCGUUACUGGUAAUCGUCGCGGCCACGCCGUUAAACCCCAACUUCUGAAUGUUGACCUCGGAUCAGGUAGGAAUACCCGCUGAACUUAA
RNAcentral lists this ribosomal RNA (444 nucleotides) under Fusarium oxysporum. RNAcentral describes it as "eukaryotic LSU rRNA". The stretch from base 99 to 252 matches the Rfam family "5.8S ribosomal RNA". Lineage: Eukaryota; Fungi; Ascomycota; Sordariomycetes; Hypocreales; Nectriaceae. The record is from RNAcentral.